RNAcentral lists this ribosomal RNA (502 nucleotides) under uncultured bacterium. RNAcentral describes it as "partial 16S ribosomal RNA". It matches the Rfam family "Bacterial small subunit ribosomal RNA", at positions 28 to 523 of the family's 1533-position model. The record is from RNAcentral.
GAUGAACGCUAGCGGCAGGCCUAACACAUGCAAGUCGAGGGGCAGCACAGAAACAGCAAUGUUUUGGUGGCGACCGGCGGACGGGUGCGUAACGCGUAUGCAACCUACCUUUAACAGGGGGAUAACGGAGAGAAAUUUCCACUAAUACCCCAUAACAUCGAUCAAGGAAUCUUGAUUGGUUGAAAACUCCGGUGGUUAAAGAUGGGCAUGCGUUGUAUUAGGUAGUUGGUGAGGGAAUGGCUCACCAAGCCUACGAUACAAAGGGUGACUGAGCGGUUAGCCCGCCACACUGGUAGUGAGACACGGACCAGACUCCGACGGGAGGCAGCUGUGAGGAAUAUUGGUCAAUUGGGGCAACCAUGAACCAGCCAUGCCGGGUGCAGGAAGACGGCUCUAUGAGUUGUAAACUGCUUUUAAACAGGGAUAAAGCACAGUAUGUAUACUGUGUUGAAGGUACUGUAAGAAUAAGGAUCGGCUAACUCCGUGCCAGCCGCCGCCGUAA